Molecule: ribosomal RNA, 501 nt
Filed under: uncultured bacterium
Lineage: Bacteria
Description: partial 16S ribosomal RNA
Rfam family: Bacterial small subunit ribosomal RNA
Source: RNAcentral
AUUGAACGCUGGCGGCAUGCCUUACACAUGCAAGUCGAACGGCAGCACGGGUGCUUGCACCUGGUGGCGAGUGGCGAACGGGUGAGUAAUACAUCGGAACGUACCUUAUCGUGGGGGAUAACGCAGCGAAAGCUGUGCUAAUACCGCAUACGCCCUGAGGGGGAAAGCGGGGGAUCGCAAGACCUCGCGCGAUUAGAGCGGCCGAUGCCUGAUUAGCUAGUUGGUGGGGUAAAAGCCCACCAAGGCGACGAUCAGUAGCUGGUCUGAGAGGACGAUCAGCCACACUGGGACGGGGACACGGCCCAGACUCCUACGGGAGGCAGCAGUGGGGGAUUUUGGACAAUGGGGGCAACCCUGAUCCAGCAAUGCCGCGUGAGUGAAGAAGGCCUUCGGGUUGUAAAGCUCUUUUGUCAGGGAAGAAACACCGGCUCUAACACAGUCCGGGAAUGACGGUACCUGAAGAAUAAGCACCGGCUAACUACGUGCCAGCAGCCGCCGUAA